Molecule: ribosomal RNA, 402 nt
Filed under: uncultured bacterium
Lineage: Bacteria
Description: bacterial SSU rRNA
Rfam family: Bacterial small subunit ribosomal RNA
Source: RNAcentral
GCGGUAAUACGGAGGGGGUUAGCGUUGUUCGGAAUUACUGGGCGUAAAGAGCGCGUAGGCGGAUUACAAAGUUGGGGGUGAAAUCCCGGGGCUCAACCUCGGAACUGCCUCCAAAACUGCUAGUCUAGAGUUCGAGAGAGGUGAGUGGAAUUCCGAGUGUAGAGGUGAAAUUCGUAGAUAUUCGGAGGAACACCAGUGGCGAAGGCGGCUCACUGGCUCGAUACUGACGCUGAGGUGCGAAAGUGUGGGGAGCAAACAGGAUUAGAUACCCUGGUAGUCCACACCGUAAACGAUGAAUGCCAGUCGUCGGGUAGUAUACUAUUCGGUGACACACCUAACGGAUUAAGCAUUCCGCCUGGGGAGUACGGUCGCAAGAUUAAAACUCAAAGGAAUUGACGGGGG